AAGGAUCAUUGUCGUGACCCUGACCAAAACAGACUGCGCACGCGUCAUCCAAUCCGUCGGCGACGGCACCGUCCGUCGCUCGGCCAAUGCCUCGACCACCUCCCCUCCUCGGAGCGGGUGGGGGCUCGGGGUAAAACAACCCACGGCGCCGAAGGCGUCAAGGAACACUGUGCCUAACCCGGGGGCAUGUCUAGCUUGCUAGCCGUCCCUCGUGUUGCAAAUCUAUUUAAUCCACACGACUCUCGGCAACGGAUAUCUCGGCUCUCGCAUCGAUGAAGAACGUAGCGAAAUGCGAUACCUGGUGUGAAUUGCAGAAUCCCGCGAACCAUCGAGUCUUUGAACGCAAGUUGCGCCCGAGGCCACUCGGCCGAGGGCACGCCUGCCUGGGCGUCACGCCAAAACACGCUCCCAACCACUCUCAACGGGAAUCGGGAUGCGGCAUCUGGUCCCUCGUCUCUCAAGGGACGGUGGACCGAAGAUUGGGCUGCCGGCGUACCGCGCCGGACACAGCGCAUGGUGGGCGUCCUCGCUUUAUCAAUGCAGUGCAUCCGGCGCGCAGCUGGCAUUAUGACCUUUGAACGACCCAACAAACGAAGCGCACGUCGCUUCGACCGCGACCCCAGGUCAGGCGGGACUACCCGCUGAGUUUAA
RNAcentral lists this ribosomal RNA (651 nucleotides) under Triticeae environmental sample. Its description in RNAcentral is "eukaryotic LSU rRNA". The stretch from base 238 to 393 matches the Rfam family "5.8S ribosomal RNA". The record is from RNAcentral. Lineage: Eukaryota; Viridiplantae; Streptophyta; Magnoliopsida; Poales; Poaceae.